RNAcentral lists this ribosomal RNA (780 nucleotides) under uncultured bacterium. Its description in RNAcentral is "bacterial SSU rRNA". It matches the Rfam family "Bacterial small subunit ribosomal RNA", at positions 88 to 869 of the family's 1533-position model. The record is from RNAcentral.
CCUUGGAGUGGCGCACGGGUGCGUAACACGUAUGCAAUCUGCCCCUAACAGGGGAAUAGCCCGGCGAAAGUCGGAUUAAUACCCCAUAACAAUGUGAAUCGGCAUCGGUUUAUAUUUAAAGCUCCGGCGGUUAGGGAUGAGCAUGCGCGACAUUAGCUAGAUGGCGGGGUAACGGCCCACCAUGGCUACGAUGUCUAGGGGGUCUGAGAGGAUUUUCCCCCACACUGGUACUGAGACACGGACCAGACUCCUACGGGAGGCAGCAGUAGGGAAUAUUGGGCAAUGGACGCAAGUCUGACCCAGCCAUGCCGCGUGAAGGACGAAGGCCCUAUGGGUUGUAAACUUCUUUUGUACGGGACGAAACCCCUCUACGUGUAGGGGGCUGACGGUACCGUAAGAAUAAGGAUCGGCUAACUCCGUGCCAGCAGCCGCGGUAAUACGGAGGAUCCAAGCGUUGUCCGGAUUUAUUGGGUUUAAAGGGUGCGUAGGCGGAUUACUAAGUCAGAGGUGAAAGUUUGCAGCUUAACUGUAAAAUUGCCUUUGAAACUGGUAGUCUUGAGUAUAGUUGAGGUGGGCGGAAUGUGUCAUGUAGCGGUGAAAUGCUUAGAUAUGAUACAGAACACCGAUUGCGAAGGCAGCUCACUAAACUGUAACUGACGCUGAGGCACGAAAGCGUGGGGAGCAAACAGGAUUAGAUACCCUGGUAGUCCACGCCCUAAACGUUGAAUACUCGUUGUUGGCGAUAUACAGUCAGCGACUAAGCGAAAGCAUUAANNNUUC